This 220-nucleotide ribosomal RNA is filed under the name uncultured bacterium. Its description in RNAcentral is "partial 16S ribosomal RNA". It matches the Rfam family "Bacterial small subunit ribosomal RNA", at positions 111 to 334 of the family's 1533-position model. The record is from RNAcentral.
UAAUGUAUGGGGAUCUGCCCGAUAGAGGGGGAUAACUACUGGAAACGGUGGCUAAUACCGCAUAAUGUCUACGGACCGAAGCAGGGGCUCUUCGGACCUUGCACUAUCGGAUGAACCCAUAUGGGAUUAGCUAGUAGGUGGGGUAAAGGCUCACCUAGGCGACGAUCUCUAGCUGGUCUGAGAGGAUGAUCAGCCACACUGGGACUGAGACACGGCCCAG